This 373-nucleotide ribosomal RNA is filed under the name uncultured organism. RNAcentral's name for it is "partial 16S ribosomal RNA". It matches the Rfam family "Bacterial small subunit ribosomal RNA", at positions 527 to 896 of the family's 1533-position model. The record is from RNAcentral.
GUAGGUGGCAAGCGUUGUCCGGAAUUAUUGGGCGUAAAGCGCGCGCAGGCGGUUCUUUAAGUCUGAUGUGAAAGCCCACGGCUCAACCGUGGAGGGUCAUUGGAAACUGGAGAACUUGAGUACAGAAGAGGAAAGCGGAAUUCCACGUGUAGCGGUGAAAUGCGUAGAGAUGUGGAGGAACACCAGUGGCGAAGGCGGCUUUCUGGUCUGUAACUGACGCUGAGGCGCGAAAGCGUGGGGAGCAAACAGGAUUAGAUACCCUGGUAGUCCACGCCGUAAACGACGAGUGCUAAGUGUUAGGGGGGUUUCCGCCCCCUUAGUGCUGCAGCUAACGCAUUAAGCACUCCGCCUGGGGAGUACGGCCGCAAGGCUG